RNAcentral lists this ribosomal RNA (468 nucleotides) under uncultured bacterium. RNAcentral's name for it is "partial 16S ribosomal RNA". It matches the Rfam family "Bacterial small subunit ribosomal RNA", at positions 28 to 507 of the family's 1533-position model. The record is from RNAcentral.
GACGAACGCUGGCGGCGUGCUUAACACAUGCAAGUCGAACGGAAAGGCCCUGCUUUUGUGGGGUGCUCGAGUGGCGAACGGGUGAGUAACACGUGAGUAACCUGCCCUUGACUUUGGGAUAACUUCAGGAAACUGGGGCUAAUACCGGAUAGGAGCUCCUGCUGCAUGGUGGGGGUUGGAAAGUUUCGGCGGUUGGGGAUGGACUCGCGGCUUAUCAGCUUGUUGGUGGGGUAGUGGCUUACCAAGGCUUUGACGGGUAGCCGGCCUGGGAGGGUGACCGGCGACAUGGGGACUGAGAUACGGACCAGACUCCUACGGGAGGCAGCAGGGGGGAAUAUUGCACAGUGGGCGGAAGCCUGAUACAGCAACGCCGCGUGCGGGAUGACGGCCUUCGGGUUGUAAACCGCUUUCGCAUGUGACGAAGCGUGAGUGACGGUAAUGGGUAAAGAAGCACCGGCUAACUACGUG